GGGGAUGAUCGGUUUCGACGAUGUGAGUUGAGACAGGGGAAGCGGGUCGAGGACGCAGAGUUAUCUCGUAAACGCUCUCUGUAAAACAAUAAGUGCCGAAUCCAAGCGCACUGACUUCGCUCUCGCUGCCUAACCAGCGAUAGCAGUCUGUCAGCCCGGGUGUGCCUUCGCCCCGGGACCUGGCAUCAGCUAGAGGGCCACUGCUCCAGCCGUACGUCGCGGGCGUCUGGAGAACACCUACGCGACUGAGUCCGUCGGCCACGUGUCUGCACGAGGGCCGGGACUGAGAAAACGCAAAGCAGACUGCACCCGGAGAAGCCCUGACAAUGCUGCAUCGGACGGGGGUUCAAUUCCCCCCAUCUCCAC
This 366-nucleotide transfer-messenger RNA is filed under the name Kocuria dechangensis. It matches the Rfam family "transfer-messenger RNA". Rfam says of the family: Bacterial tmRNA, also known as 10Sa RNA or SsrA, is named for its dual tRNA and mRNA-like properties. The record is from RNAcentral. Lineage: Bacteria; Bacillati; Actinomycetota; Actinomycetes; Micrococcales; Micrococcaceae.